AGGACGAACGCUGGCGGCGUGCUUAACACAUGCAAGUCGAGCGGUAAGGCCUUUCGGGGUACACGAGCGGCGAACGGGUGAGUAACACGUGGGUGAUCUGCCCUGCACUUCGGGAUAAGCCUGGGAAACUGGGUCUAAUACCGGAUAUGACCUCCUAUCGCAUGGUGGGUGGUGGAAAGAUUUAUCGGUGCAGGAUGGGCCCGCGGCCUAUCAGCUUGUUGGUGGGGGUAAUGGCCUACCAAGGCGACGACGGGUAGCCGACCUGAGAGGGUGACCGGCCACACUGGGACUGAGACACGGCCCAGACUCCUACGGGAGGCAGCAGUGGGGAAUAUUGCACAAUGGGCGAAAAGCCUGAUGCAGCGACGCCGCGUGAGGAUGACGGCCUUCGGGUUGUAAACCUCUUUCAGCAGGACGAAGCGCAAGUGACGUACCUGCAGAAGAAGCACGGCUAACUACGUGACCAGCAGCCGC
This 474-nucleotide ribosomal RNA is filed under the name uncultured soil bacterium. RNAcentral's name for it is "bacterial SSU rRNA". It matches the Rfam family "Bacterial small subunit ribosomal RNA", at positions 26 to 518 of the family's 1533-position model. The record is from RNAcentral.